Molecule: non-coding RNA, 229 nt
Filed under: Citrobacter amalonaticus
Lineage: Bacteria; Pseudomonadati; Pseudomonadota; Gammaproteobacteria; Enterobacterales; Enterobacteriaceae
Source: RNAcentral
GAUACAGUCUUUUUCGACAGUAUUUCAUUGCACCAACAUUGUAAUGAAUAGGAACAUGGUGCGGAUUAUUGCAAUCCCAUUCCAUGACUGCCCCCGCAACUGUAGGCGGAUGCAGAAUAUCCUCGUGCAGCAUAUUUUGUUGCAGGUCACUGUAAAGCGAAUCUUUAUGGGAAGGCCGAUAUUCUGAUUACCGUGAGUCAGGAGACCUGCUGUCAAAUUUAUACCCCAU